RNAcentral lists this ribosomal RNA (253 nucleotides) under uncultured bacterium. Its description in RNAcentral is "partial 16S ribosomal RNA". It matches the Rfam family "Bacterial small subunit ribosomal RNA", at positions 524 to 776 of the family's 1533-position model. The record is from RNAcentral.
UACAGGGGGGGCAAGCGUUGUUCGGAAUUACUGGGCGUAAAGGGCUCGUAGGUGGCCAACUAAGUCAGACGUGAAAUCCCUCAGCUUAACUGGGGAACUGCGUCUGAUACUGGAUGGCUUGGAUUCGGGAGAGGAAUGCGGAAUUCCAGGUGUAGCGGUGAAAUGCGUAGAUAUCUGGAGGAACACCGGUGGCGAAGGCGGCAUCCUGGACCGGUAUUGACGCUGAGGCGCGAAAGCCAGGGGAGCAAACGGG